Cydia amplana is the source of this 1320-nucleotide RNA transcript. RefSeq lists it as uncharacterized. NCBI's taxonomy places the organism in Eukaryota, Metazoa, Arthropoda, Insecta, Lepidoptera, Tortricidae. The transcript has 5 exons. The record is from RefSeq and is a predicted model, not a curated record.
CGCGCCGCGUCUAUUUGCCGCAUCGCCGCCGUGUAGUCACAACUCUUGUAAACGCGAUCUCACGCGAACAAAAUUGUGAAAGUGUUGCAUAUAAAACGCGAUUUCUCGACAGCGAGAGUACCGCGCCUACGGCAUUUUAAACAAAUAGUGUUGGUGGGAGUGUGAAUUGGAAUUGUGAACUUGGUAGAGGGUUCAAUGGAAGCGAGGUUCGUGACCUGCCGGAGCUUCCAGCAGAUCAAGCCGCCUGAGAAGAGCCUAGCGCCUCCGCCGACGGUGAAGGGGCUGCUGUCUCGUUUCGGAAGCCAGGCACAAGCUCUCUUCGCGCCGAAGAAACCCCGCUUCGGAUCUUCGGUAGCGAUCCACAAGCUCCGUGAAACCAAGUGGUUUAAACAUGAGGAGCAGAACAUCUUGUGUGCAGUUCUGGAGACCGGAUUCAUCCUCGAAGUGCGAGCGGAGGACCCGCUACCACCGGACUCCUGUCUUUCUCCAGACUACCAUAUGUACGCCAUCGCCAUGUGGAAGAAGGGUAAAGAAAAAACAAAAAACCCGGAACAGAUAGAGGUGUUCACGGUCCAACAGAAAGGUGUAAGAAAACGUGUCGUGAAGACAACCCUGGGUGCAUUCUGGAAGAAGGACUCAGUGAUCCGCAUCAACAAUGUGGACGACAAACAGGAAUCGCCGAACAGUGAAAAGGAUAUUAGAGCUAAGCUGGAGAUGGCCACUAAAUCCAGGUUCGAGAGGAACUGGCAUAAUACCCUGCACUUCGUCCACUGGUGCCGGUACGGGGAGACACCUCAAGAAGCUCGCAUGAGACAGAUCAGCUUAACGACGUCGAAAACACCCAUGAUUAUCAUCUUUUGAUGGUAAUCGUUGAGGCGCUUUGGACUCUCAGCUGGCAACCUUAACACACCGAUAAGCGAGUCGCUCAAAUGGGGUAACAUCGGAAUGAACAUGGGCGUUCUGCUCGUCAGCCAAAACAACGGCCGGGCCAAGGCGAAGUCGGUCUGAGUGCCGGCCGCCAGCGACACCGCUGGCAACACUUGCUUCUGCUUCUGGCCGCCGAGAAACAUUGACCAUGUUUAAAUUAGGAACGCAGCUCAAUUCGAUUCCUUUUUUGGAUUUUAAGUUUUUAAACGGUGUCUAAAAUCGGAACGAAGCCUUGGAGCUCUCAGUUUGGUUCCUUUUGUUGAUGUUUUUAUUAAUGGCGGGAAACAUCGUCUGUGUUUAAAAUCGGAACGGAGCAAUAGAACUAUCGAUUCGUUUAGUUCCUUUUUGAACUUUAAAUCUUCAGUUUUCAAGCUCUUUUUGCAGUUCCUUUUU